CUGACAGACCUGGAGACAGGCCCUCUCUAUGAAACAAGGACAGCAUGGGCAGGAACAAUUCAGGCUUUUCCAUACUGCCCUGCCAGUAUUUCUCAACUCUGACCUGAGGAGACAACCAUCCUCAUUCUUUCUUUUGCUGCU
Molecule: small RNA, 141 nt
Filed under: Chrysemys picta bellii (western painted turtle)
Lineage: Eukaryota; Metazoa; Chordata; Testudines; Emydidae
Description: TUC338 (ENSCPBG00000013561.1)
Source: RNAcentral